UUGUGUGACCAAAGUAGAAAUAACUUGCUUCAUGUCCUGUUUUGUGACAAAUCUGGCAUUGAACACAGAGUAUAUUACCAUUGUGAACACCACACCUCUGAACCUGCCACCACAAAACUCUCUGCCACGAGAAUUGUAUCCAUGACCUCCAGGACCAGGAUUUUUAUAAUUGAAUUCAGAUCAUUGUUAUCAUGAGUGUAGGGAUUGGUAAGUUAAGAAGAUCCUUGAGCAAGGUUGAUUGACAAAGAUUCAGUGACUUCCUUUUGGGUAUUUUCACUAUGUGCCUCUUGAGUAUGAAGCAAGGAUUCAAGUAUAUCUAGAGAGAUGAAUUGAUACCUAGAGUUAAUUGCAUCAACUACUGAAUCAAAUUCAUUUGGUAGAGCUUCAAGAACCAAUUCAAUAUGAUCAUGGUGCAGAACUGGAUCAUCAAUUGACAUCAGAGUAUCAAAUGAAAUAUGCAAUUGAUCUUGUAUCUUUGGUCAACAAACGCAAUUGCGACAUAAGUUGUUACGAACGAGUUGGCCCCAUUCCGCGUAUUCAUCAGAGAAAGGAUUCGAAACUCAUUUUGGUUUUUAAUUUGAGUUCAGAUUAUUACUUAUUGGAUUCAUCUAUUGGUUGCUAGAGUUGGUUGGAGUUCUUCGUUGGUUAAUCUUUGGUUGAUAUUCACAGGUUCUUGCUACUGACUCUGGAGAGGGUUCUAGUUUCUUUAUCUUGUUCGUGGCACUGCCAAAUUCUGCAAGUGUAUCAAAAUUAAAGAUUCCAUCGCCAUUGUAUUGAGAUUUAUCGUCGACUUUCGAUUCCACCGCCAUUGUAUAUUCGCAUCAAUUUUUGAGAUAUAUGAUCAGCAGAUGGAGAGCUUUAUGCGGCUAGAGAAUGGGAAAGUCUAGACUCCACAUGGUUACCAUUGUCUGCUUGAGCUGUGGACGGUGUGCUAGUAAAUUUCCUCCAACAUUUAUUGUGGUGUUUCUAUCCGAACUUCUUUUUUUGGGGAUUUAUAUGAUGGAAGAUAACCAUGAACGGGAAGAACAUUUUGGAAGUUGGUUAUUGCAUGUAUGGAAGUUAUUUCACACUUUGGUAAGCCUUAGUUGUUAUGUUAAUAGUUUCACCCUUAACCUUUCCCUUGGUGAUGAUUAUAAUGGAAUAAUGGUUCUUCUGAAGUGAUAUUUUUUGUCUCUAUUAGCUACCAACAUGUGCCAUCAUUGGUGUCAUGACAAGUUUGAGAUAUAUGAUCGUGGGAUUAUGUGGUUUCCACAGAAAAUUCGUGAUGAUUUUAUUCCUUGAUGGUUUGAUGAUGUUGUUGUGUCUUUUGAAAAGGUUGAAUUUAGUUGUUUUCUGAUUGAUUAGUUGGUUUAUUUAUGUAUUAUGUCAUCUUGAGCACAACAUUGGUAUUGUUGCUUCAUUCACUAACCGGCAAUCAUGCUAUUUGACUUUUUUUAGUUGAAUUGUUCGUCCUCUAAUGUACCAAGUCACCUUUAGCACAACUUGAGUAUUGUUUCUUCACUUUGUAGCUAUUAGACCUUCUGACAUUCACUUAUUGUGCUUAUAUCUUUGAUGUUUUGUACUCUUGAUGGGUAAGCUUUGUGCCUUUUGUUGGCUUUUUUGUUGUGCUUCUACCUUAUGGUGGUUAAGCUUUGGUUCUUCUAUUAAGUGGAUAAGCCUUGAGUUGUGGUUUCUACCUAAUGGUUAAGCUUUUGCCUUUACGGUUUUGUCCUUGGUCGAUGUAUUUUUGGCUUCACUUGAAUUUCUUUCAAUUUGAUGUAUUAUCCAUUUCAAGUUGGAAGUGUUGUGAACAGCUUCCAACUUAUAGGGGACUAUUAGAAAUAUAAGUUAUUAACCUAGUGAGAUAGUAGUAUAUAUACUUGUAACCUCCUCAUUAGAAGGAUACUUUCACUCAUUUGUAAUAUAUUAUUUCGAAGCUUUUCUCUCCUCCCUUCCAUGGAUGUCAUGUCUCUUAACAAAGUGAGAGAUGGGAGAGUCAAAAAUUGUUGAAAGAAGCCAUGUACAUAGUAGUGCAUCUUGCUCUUCCCACACGACAUACCUAGGGUUCUCAGUUCUAGAUUCACGGCCAGCAAUAGUGAGAAAUCGCUCAGGGAUCUGAGUCGUGACAACAAACUUAACCAAUUUUAUGUCGCGAAGGAAACCUUCAACUUGUUGCUUUCAUUGAUGAUAAUUGGAUUCGUCUAGUUUCACGGUGAUUUUA
Molecule: long non-coding RNA, 2200 nt
Organism: Lathyrus oleraceus (garden pea)
Lineage: Eukaryota; Viridiplantae; Streptophyta; Magnoliopsida; Fabales; Fabaceae
Exons: 2
Source: RefSeq, a predicted model, not a curated record